AUUGAACGCUGGCGGCAUGCCUUACACAUGCAAGUCGAACGGUAACAGGUCUUCGGAUGCUGACGAGUGGCGAACGGGUGAGUAAUACAUCGGAACGUGCCUAGUAGUGGGGGAUAACUACUCGAAAGAGUGGCUAAUACCGCAUGAGAUCUACGGAUGAAAGCAGGGGAUCGCAAGACCUUGUGCUACUAGAGCGGCCGAUGGCAGAUUAGGUAGUUGGUGGGAUAAAAGCUUACCAAGCCGACGAUCUGUAGCUGGUCUGAGAGGACGAUCAGCCACACUGGGACUGGGACACGGCCCAGACUCCUACGGGAGGCAGCAGUGGGGAACUUUGGACAAUGGGCGCAAGCCUGACCCAGCAAUGCCGCGUGCAGGAUGAAGGCCUUCGGGUUGUAAACUGCUUUUGUACGGAACAAAAGCCCCGGGUUAAUACCCUGGGGUCAUGACGGUACCGUAAGAAUAAGCACCGGCUAACUACGUGCCAGCAGCCGCCGUAA
Molecule: ribosomal RNA, 497 nt
Filed under: uncultured bacterium
Lineage: Bacteria
Description: partial 16S ribosomal RNA
Rfam family: Bacterial small subunit ribosomal RNA
Source: RNAcentral